AGUGAACGCUGGCGAUAGGCCUAACACAUGCAAGUCGAACGGCAGCACAGUAAGAGCUUGCUCUUACGGGUGGCGAGUGGCGGACGGGUGAGGAAUACAUCGGCAUCUACUUUUUCGUGGGGGAUAACGUAGGGAAACUUCCGCUAAUACCUCAUACGACCUACGGGUUAAAUCAGUGGAUCUUCGCACCUUGCGCGAUUGAAUGAGCCGAUGUCGGAUUAGCUAGUUGGCGGGGUAAAGGCCCACCAAGGCGACGAUCCGUAGCUGGUCUGAGAGGAUGAUCAGCCACACUGGAACUGAGACACGGGCCAGACUCCUACGGGAGGCAGAAGUGGGGAAUAUUGGACAAAGGGCGCAAGACUGAUACAGCCAUACCGCGUGGGUGAAGAAGGCCUUCGGGUUGUAAAGACCUUUUGUAGGGAAAGAAAAGCAGCAGGUUAAUACCCCGCUGUUCUGACGGUACCCAAAGAAUAAGCACCGGCUAACUUCGUG
Molecule: ribosomal RNA, 492 nt
Filed under: uncultured bacterium
Lineage: Bacteria
Description: partial 16S ribosomal RNA
Rfam family: Bacterial small subunit ribosomal RNA
Source: RNAcentral